UACGUAGGUGGCAAGCGUUAUCCGGAAUUAUUGGGCGUAAAGCGCGCGCAGGUGGUUUCUUAAGUCUGAUGUGAAAGCCCACGGCUCAACCGUGGAGGGUCAUUGGAAACUGGGAGACUUGAGUGCAGAAGAGGAAAGUGGAAUUCCAUGUGUAGCGGUGAAAUGCGUAGAGAUAUGGAGGAACACCAGUGGCGGAGGCGACUUUCUGGUCUGUAACUGACACUGAGGCGCGAAAGCGUGGGGAGCAAACAGG
This 253-nucleotide ribosomal RNA is filed under the name uncultured bacterium. RNAcentral's name for it is "partial 16S ribosomal RNA". It matches the Rfam family "Bacterial small subunit ribosomal RNA", at positions 524 to 776 of the family's 1533-position model. The record is from RNAcentral.